GUCCCAGUAGCUCAGCUGGAUAGAGCACCACCCUCCUAAGGUGGGUGUCGGGGGUUCGAAUCCCUUCUGGGACGCCA
RNAcentral lists this transfer RNA (77 nucleotides) under Clostridia bacterium. RNAcentral's name for it is "tRNA-Arg". It matches the Rfam family "tRNA". From Rfam's summary of the family: Transfer RNA (tRNA) molecules are approximately 80 nucleotides in length. Their secondary structure includes four short double-helical elements and three loops (D, anti-codon, and T loops). Lineage: Bacteria; Bacillati; Bacillota; Clostridia. RNAcentral also lists the same sequence under 1 other name. The record is from RNAcentral.